This 824-nucleotide ribosomal RNA is filed under the name uncultured fungus. RNAcentral's name for it is "eukaryotic LSU rRNA". It matches the Rfam family "Eukaryotic large subunit ribosomal RNA", at positions 24 to 664 of the family's 3401-position model. The record is from RNAcentral. Lineage: Eukaryota; Fungi.
CCCGCUGAACUUAAGCAUAUUAAUAAGCGGAGGAAAAGAAACUAACAAGGAUUCCCUCAGUAACGGCGAGCGAAGCGGGAAUAGCUCAAAUUUGAAAUCUCCAGGGGCAACCUUGGCGAAUUGUAGUUUAGAGAAGCGCUUUCUAAGGCAGGACACCGUCGAAGUUCUUUGGAACGAGACAUCAGAGAGGGUGAGAAUCCCGUAUCUGGCGGUGUGUCUCUUGCUUUUAUACGGGGCGUUUUCGAAGAGUCAGGUUGUUUGGGAAUGCAGCCUAAAAUGGGUGGUAAAUUUCAUCUAAAGCUAAAUACAGGCACGAGACCGAUAGCGAACAAGUACCGUGAGGGAAAGAUGAAAAGCACUUUGAAAAGAGAGUUAAAUAGCACGUGAAGCCGUUAAAAUGGAAACGAUUGAAGUCAGCAGUGCUUGCCUGAUAAUCAAUCUGGAUAGCGUUUGCUAGUGUGGCUUUUCGGAGGGCGCAAGUUCACGGAGUCAUGGUAGUACAGGCGUUGUACGGGUGCACUUAUUGGGCUGAGCGGGUCAGCAUCGGUUUGGUUGUGCGGGGUAAGGUGCGCGGGAAGGUAGCUUGGUUGGGGCAACUCAGCUGAGUGUUAAGCCUGUGUACUGAGACGUCAACUAGACCGAGGAAACAGACGCAGUGCAUACCCUUCGGGGUUAGAGGGUUUCUGUCAUGGUGUUUUCCACUGCAGGUUACUGUUUCACGACACGUGGCUUGUGGUGCGUGAGGUGCUAGAGAUGGGGAUCAUUCAUACAAUGCGCUUCGGAUGCUGACGAAAUGGCUUUAACCGACCCGUCUUGAAACACGG